UGUGAACCGCAUUAAGAUUUUCACACAAAAAUAGAAAAAAAAAACAAUAAAUUUUGGGGGUUCCCCAUACUUAGAACUGAAACUCAACAUUUUGUUUUCAUGAAACCCAUAUGUUUAGAAUAUCAUUUUUUUCUAAACUGAAUAGUUUGCGCGAGAGACACUUCCAAAGUGGUAAAAUGUGUGUCCGCCCCCCCCCCCCCCCCCCCCCCCGUAACUUCUAAAAUAAGAGAACGAUCAAACUAAAAAAAAUAUAUGAUGUACAUUACCAUGCAAACUUCCACCGAAAAUUGGUUUGAACGAAAUCUAGUAAGUAGUUAUUUUUAAUACGUCAUAAAUCGUAAA
This is a long non-coding RNA of Cydia splendana, 342 nucleotides long. RefSeq lists it as uncharacterized. NCBI's taxonomy places the organism in Eukaryota, Metazoa, Arthropoda, Insecta, Lepidoptera, Tortricidae. The record is from RefSeq and is a predicted model, not a curated record. The transcript has 2 exons.